GAUGAACGCUGGCGGCGUGCCUAAUACAUGCAAGUCGAGCGAACGGACGAGAAGCUUGCUUCUCUGAUGUUAGCGGCGGACGGGUGAGUAACACGUGUAUAACCUACCUAUAAGACUGGGAUAACUUCGGGACACCGUAGCUAAUACCGGAUAAUAUUUUGCACCGCAGGGUUCAAAAGUGAAAGUCGGUCUUGCUGUCACUUAUAGAUGGAUCCGCGCUGCAUUAGCUAGUUGGUAAGGUAACGGCUUACCACGGCAACGAUGCAUAGCCGACCUGAGAGGGUGAUCGGCCACACUGGAACUGGGACAGGGUCCAGGCUCCUACGGGAGGCAGCAGUAGGGAAUCUUCCGCAAUGGGCGAAAGCAUGACGGAGCAACGCCGCGUGAGUGAUGAAGGUCUUCGGAUCGUAAAACUCUGUUAUGAGGGAAGAACAUCUGUGUACGUAACUGUGCACAUCUUGACGGUACCUAAUCAGAAAGCAACGGCUAACUACGUG
RNAcentral lists this ribosomal RNA (497 nucleotides) under uncultured bacterium. Its description in RNAcentral is "partial 16S ribosomal RNA". It matches the Rfam family "Bacterial small subunit ribosomal RNA", at positions 28 to 507 of the family's 1533-position model. The record is from RNAcentral.